Molecule: long non-coding RNA, 4862 nt
Filed under: Sus scrofa (pig)
Lineage: Eukaryota; Metazoa; Chordata; Mammalia; Artiodactyla; Suidae
Description: lncRNA (ENSSSCG00000063452.1)
Source: RNAcentral
UGUGAACAUUAUAUAAUACGUAUUUAGCAAAAACAUAUGCAAAUGGAAAAGAUACAUAUUCAGCACCUUAGAAUGGCUUUAUGGAGGGGAGGAAAUGCAAUAGGAAAUGGAGACUAAAGGGAAUAAUAAAUAGAUAAAAGAGGAGACUAAGAAGGAUGGAUCACUGACAAUAUCUUUCUGAACUGAAUCAGCAGCACCUGAAUAUCCCACACUCAACCACAGAAGAAAAGAAAAUACAGAUAAAUAUUUUCAUCUUGUGGAGGUAAGAAAAGACUUUCUAAGCAUGAUGCAAAGACAAAAACUAUAAAGGAAAGGAUAUCAAAGCUAAUGAAAAAAAUAUUUUAAAAUUAUGGUAAAUAUACAUAGCAUAAGAUUUACCAUCCUAACCAUUUUUAAGUGUGCGGUUUCCUGGUGUUAAGUAAAUUCGCGUUGUUUCUCAACCAAUCUCCAGAACUCUGUACACUUUAAACAACUCAGUAUCCCCCCUCCUCCCAGCCCCUGGCAACCACCACUCUCUGUUCUGUCUCUAUGAGCUCAACUAUGUUAGGUGUCUGAAACCUGUUCCUAAGAGCCACCUACUCCUAAUACAAAGGGUCAGUAUUCAGCUGUGGAAAAUUCCUGUUAUAUGCAGAUCAGCAGGGAAAUAGGUUUAAAAAUGGGAAAACUGGAUUUAUUUGGCCUGGAGAGGCAGAAACUCAGUACAGGAUAGCAGUCUUUAAACACUCAGGGGGCUCAAGAAGCAGAGAUUCCAAAAGCAAGUGCUUUCUAGGAAGAAAAGCUACCCACCAAAGAACUGGGCUCCCUUGAGAAGUAGUGAGUUCCCCGUCCCUGGAAAUGCUUCUCCGGUAGAGGAUGUUACUCCAGUGGGCUGAACUAGAUCAAGGUCCCAUGACCCACUGGGGUUUUGUGACCUACUGAACACAUAACCCCCCUGGAAAAGCUAAGAAAAGCCCAGCGGGAAUUGUGUGUCUGAGGAGGCAGGUGUGGCACAAGCCUGGCAGUGCGUGGACAGUAAGACUGGGAUACAAGCUUCAUUUCCUUCAUGUCCUAUUUUAUUUUCCAGUUAACUAUCAGCCUCCCCCUGGACUGCCCCACGCACCGUCUCCCAGCCCCUCUCCUCCAUCUCCACCUCUUUGCCUAUUCAACCCUAACCAUUCUCUGAAGUCUCUCUUCCCGCCGUGAACCUUCUCUUCAAACUUCCUCCUGCAGGUCUCACUGUGGCAUUUAAUGGAGAUGGGGUUCAAAGUUACAGAUAGAGAUCACAGGGCUGUACACACCUGUCCGCUCACCACAGAGCAGACAGAACACUGUAAACCAGCUGUAAUGGAAAAAAAUAAAAAUCAUUACAAAAAAAAAAAAAAAAAAAAGACAUCAAAGUCAAGGGAAGGGGCGUUGGAGUCUAGCCCACAUUAGAAUUCGGAUCUUAGUGGUAAUUACCUAUCACUCACUGCCGCCUAGCUUUGGUUUCCUCAUCUGUCAGUCGGGGAAGAUGAUGCGAAGGAUAGCGCAUGUUUGGACCAAGUGCUAACUAAUUGCAUCAUGGGGGAGGUAGAGACUCUUCCUUCUCAGCACUUGACCACUCCCAGGAUUGCUGUGAGGCACUGAAGUGCUUCUGCCCCAACCUGGUGCACACUCAACGCGCUGUACACGCUGCCCUUACUGUGAUAAGGCAGGCCGGGGGAUGUGAAGUUGCAGCCUCGGUAGCCCCAACUCCACUCGUUUCUCCUACUGAUCACAGCCACCUUCUGUGAUGUGCUCAGCUGGUCCAAAUCCCAGUUUGACAUUUAUUCACAUUCAUCUUGGACUCUUCCUGGCUUGCUCACAUGUCUAUGUGUGUCCUGUCUCUGGAGGAUAAAAGUAUUGGUGAUACUUUGGGGCACCUCCUCCAGAGAGUGGAUGAGCCUCCCAAGGCCAUGGGGUUGCUGGGAACAGAGAAGGUAGUUGGACUAGAUGGAGCCCAGCUGGGCAGUUCCUCCAAGCCAGGCUUCCCAGCUGCCAAACAGAUGCCUUGGAGAGAAAUGACAGGCUGUGGGUGGGACCUCAGAUGAUGGAGAACUCUGGGGCCUCACAGCCUCCAAGCUUGCCUUGGCAACAGCUCUUUUCCCUGUUCUCUUUUGAAAGGGAAUGAUGUGACUGCUGGCACUAGGCAAUUAUCAUUUGUGAACAUUUUUUUUUCUUGUGUCAUGUCAGAGAAAGACAUACACAAACCCUGCCUGUGAACAGGAAUUAUAGGCAUAAGCCAAUCUAGUUUUAAAAAUGAUGUUGCCAUCUAAAUUCUAUUAACCCUACAAUGCAAUCUCCCUUAGACCAAAAUAGUGCAAUUUCCUUCUCUUUGCACUUUCUUUUUCUCCAAUUUAAUUUGAUUUUUGCUCUCUUUAGAGGAUACACAGUAAUCGGGUUAGGCCACCGUCAAUUCAGUACUGCCCAUAGAGCUCCUUCCUUUUCUAUUUCAGCCCAUUCUCAACUUCUUCCUUAAUCCACUUUCUGCCCUGUGAAUAUCCCGAGAAGAACUGGACAGAGAUAAAUCAUUUUGCCUCGGAAAUUUAUCAGGUUGGAAAAAAAUAAACAAUCUGCUGCCCUCUGAAACUCAGAAAAUCAUGUUAGCCUAAGGUACCAAGUCUGUUUAUUUUCCUUUAUCUAAGGGAUAGAUUUCAUUAUGAAAGCUGGGCCCGAAUGAAUGGCCAAAGAAGUCCCUCACACCAAGGCAGUGCCAGAAAUAAUAAAUGAAUGUGUUUGCUAUUGAAAUGGUCCAAUCUGGAUUUCAGAAGGGAUUAUAUUUGUUUUUUUGGAGGGGAUGAAUCAUAUAGGUUUUAAAUAAUAAUUCUGCAACUUCAGCUCUUUUUGAGGGCAUGCAAAAUUGCUUGCCAACUCCUGAAAGCCCGGAGAGUAAUUGAUUUAACAAGACUGAAGCAAUAUUGCUUUUUAUACAGCUUAAGGUGUAAACAAAUAUUUCCUCUUAACACAUUUCUAAUGUUUGGUAUAAUAACAGUCAUCAAAUUCGAUGAAAACAGACACAUCUUUUAAAAAAUCCAGUCUUCUCUCAUUCCUUCUCUUUCUAGAUCCAAGAAAAUGAAGAAGAGAAUGCAUAAAUUAAAACAGGACAAGUAAGGCUAAAUGGCUUGUUUCUUUCUUUCUUACAAAUUUAAGUUAUGUGUUGACUUGUAAAGAAGGAAAAGGGCUCUCUGCCUAUAAGAUCUAGUCAAACAUGCCUUUCUGUUCUUUAUGAAAGGAAAAUGAUAAUAUUUCCAUCCUGGCAAAGUGGCCCCACGACUGGUUAGUGCCGCUAAGGAGAGCGCUUUGGUCUGGAGUCAUUCAAAGAAGCACCUCUGGCAAUGGGAAACCUUGGUGAAACUCCACAUAAAAACUCCAACACCCGGACCUGUUCACCAGGUGCUAUAUUCUGGUCAGCUUUGCUACCUUCCUUGGGAUGGCUUCACAUACUAGGAUCCUGCCACCCUGAGACAUGAUGGAUUUGAUGUUGGGAUAACCUUCAAAGACAUCUCCCAGGUCACAAGAUUGCCAGGUUACAGACAUCCUUGGUUACAGCCCAAGCAAUGUGGCUUGGAACAUUCUCCAAGCAGGAAGGCUGUGCAUGAAUCAAUGGGCCGAGGUCUAAAGGUAGAAUCUAUGUUCCUCCAAAGAAGAAUGCAAGUCCUUUAAUCUACAGGGAAACGAAGGCACAUAUCAAGGCAAAACCCUAAUCUAUUUGUCAAACUUAAAAUUAGCUUCCUCACUGAUGAAGAGAUGAAUGUAUCUAUCUAGAUUAUCAGUAAAUAUAAACGAACAUGACUCUGUCUGUCCAUCCAUCUCUAUCUAUUAUGAUAUAAAUAUAAUUCCAGUUAACAUUUUUGCUAAUACUUAUUAUACUUCAUUUAUGUGACUUAACUUGGUACAAUAAUGCCAUGAUGUUUACUCUCCCUCUUUUAAAAAUAGUUCCUCCUGGAGUUCUCGUUGUGGCACAGCAGAAAUGACUCUGACUAAUAGCCAAGAGAAUGUGAGUUCGAUCUCUGGCCUCGCUCAGUGGGUUGGAGAUCCGGCGUUGCCAUGAGCGGUGGUGUAGGUUGCAGACGCAGCUCAGAUCCCACAUUGCUGUGGCCAUGGUGUGUAGACUGGCAGCUGUAGCUCUGAUCAGACACCUAGACUGGCAACUUCCAUAUGCUGCAGCUGAGGCCCUAAAAAGCUAUACAUUUAUAUAAAGCCAUAUAUAUGUAUAUAGCUACUCCUUAGACAAUGCAGCAGGCAAAAGUCUGUUAUCAAAUGUCAGUGACUGUAACUGAGCUGCAGAGAAAACUCUCAAAAAUGAAAAUUGACUGGGAGAGUAAACUUGUACAUAUUGGGAAGCAGAUGCAAAUACAAUUACAAUUUGUCUCAAACUUUGCUGGCAAUUCACCUUUGGAUGGAAUGUCAAGCAGGGAAAUUUUUGGCCUGAAGACACUUUUUAAAGGAACUGAUUAGUCCUGGAGCGCAGAGGAAACAGAGAGGGCUCAAAUGGGCGUGUGAACGGAAACUCCAUCUCAGUCAUGCCUCUAAUUUAAUGGGAGGAUGGCCGCGGAAUGAGCAUCACUAAAGCAGAUAAUUCUCAUCCCUAUUCCACCUUCUACCUGCCAACCUGUCAUUCUCCUAAAGUAGCAAUUUUUUUCUUCAUUUCUGUUUUUAGUUGGUAAUUAUUUCUGAGCACUGAGAUGCUGCCAUCAUGUUCCUGUAAAAACACCCUGGAAGGGAAGCCAAGGCCCAAGACCACAAAGAAUACUUGAGAAGCCUCAGCAGAAGCAGAGGCCCAGCAGAAAACCACUUCAGACAAAUCAUCACGCUGCAUACCUUAAACUUAUAUAGUGCUGUGUGUCAAUCACAUCAAUAAAACU